UACGUAGGUGGCAAGCGUUAAUCGGAAUUACUGGGCGUAAAGGGCGCGUAGGCGGCCUGUUAAGUCGAACGUGAAAUCCCCGGGCUCAACCCGGGAACUGCGUCCGAUACUGGCAGGCUUGAAUCCGGGAGAGGGAUGUGGAAUUCCAGGUGUAGCGGUGAAAUGCGUAGAUAUCUGGAGGAACACCGGUGGCGAAGGCGGCAUCCUGGACCGGUAUUGACGCUGAGGCGCGAAAGCCAGGGGAGCAAACGGG
RNAcentral lists this ribosomal RNA (253 nucleotides) under uncultured bacterium. RNAcentral's name for it is "partial 16S ribosomal RNA". It matches the Rfam family "Bacterial small subunit ribosomal RNA", at positions 524 to 776 of the family's 1533-position model. The record is from RNAcentral.